CGUAACAAGGUCUCCGUUGGUGAACCAGCGGAGGGAUCAUUACUGAGUUUACGCUCUACAACCCUUUGUGAACAUACCUACAACUGUUGCUUCGGCGGGUAGGGUCUCCGCGACCCUCCCGGCCUCCCGCCUCCGGGCGGGUCGGCGCCCGCCGGAGGAUAACCAAACUCUGAUUUAACGACGUUUCUUCUGAGUGGUACAAGCAAAUAAUCAAAACUUUUAACAACGGAUCUCUUGGUUCUGGCAUCGAUGAAGAACGCAGCGAAAUGCGAUAAGUAAUGUGAAUUGCAGAAUUCAGUGAAUCAUCGAAUCUUUGAACGCACAUUGCGCCCGCCAGCAUUCUGGCGGGCAUGCCUGUUCGAGCGUCAUUUCAACCCUCAAGCUCUGCUUGGUGUUGGGGCCCUACAGCCGAUGUAGGCCCUCAAAGGUAGUGGCGGACCCUCCCGGAGCCUCCUUUGCGUAGUAACUUUACGUCUCGCACUGGGAUCCGGAGGGACUCUUGCCGUAAAACCCCCCAAUUUUCCAAAGGUUGACCUCGGAUCAGGUAGGAAUACCCGCUGAACUUAAGCAUAUC
Molecule: unclassified non-coding RNA, 574 nt
Filed under: Colletotrichum gloeosporioides
Lineage: Eukaryota; Fungi; Ascomycota; Sordariomycetes; Glomerellales; Glomerellaceae
Description: sequence contains 18S rRNA gene, ITS1, 5.8S rRNA gene, ITS2, 28S rRNA gene
Rfam family: 5.8S ribosomal RNA (bases 215-368)
Source: RNAcentral